AUUGAACGCUGGCGGCAGGCCUCAUACAUGCAAGUUGAACGAGAAAGUAUCUUCGGAUGCGAGUACAGUGGCGGACGGGUGAGUAAUACAUAGGAAUCUACCCAAUGGAGGGGGAUAGCUCGAGGAAACUCGAAUUAAUACCGCAUAAUCUCCACGGAGUAAAGAGGGCUUCGGCUCUCGCCAUCGGAUGAGCCUAUGCAAGAUUAGCUUGUUGGUAAGGUAAUGGCUUACCAAGGCUACGAUCUUUAGCUGGUUUGAGAGGACGACCAGCCACAUCGGGACUGAGACACGGCCCGGACUUCUACGGAAGGCAGCAGUAGGGAAUAUUGGACAAUGAGCGAAAGCUUGAUCCAGCCAUGCCGCGUGUGCGAUGAAGACCUUAGGGUUGUAAAGCACUUUAGGUUAUGAGAAAAGAUUUGGUAUUAAUACCACCAAAUUUUGAUGUUAAUUUCAGAAUAAGCACCGGCUAAAUCCGUGCCAGCCGCCGCCGUAACAC
This 496-nucleotide ribosomal RNA is filed under the name uncultured bacterium. Its description in RNAcentral is "bacterial SSU rRNA". It matches the Rfam family "Bacterial small subunit ribosomal RNA", at positions 30 to 526 of the family's 1533-position model. The record is from RNAcentral.